UCUCCGGUAGUCCAGUGGUUAAGACUCUGCACUUCCACUGCAAGGGUCCGGGGUUCAGUUCCUGGUCAGGGAG
This 73-nucleotide transfer RNA is filed under the name Bos taurus (domestic cattle). It matches the Rfam family "tRNA". Rfam says of the family: Transfer RNA (tRNA) molecules are approximately 80 nucleotides in length. Their secondary structure includes four short double-helical elements and three loops (D, anti-codon, and T loops). Lineage: Eukaryota; Metazoa; Chordata; Mammalia; Artiodactyla; Bovidae. RNAcentral also lists the same sequence under 3 other names. The record is from Rfam by way of RNAcentral.